GUGGAGCAGAUGCGGGGUGCUUCCUAGAUGCGAGUGCCGUCGGGGCGCGUGGAAUGCAGAGGCAGCGCCCGGGGUGCGGUCCACCUACGACGUUCUCGCCAAAUGUGGUCCUCUUUCACCUACUGCGUUUACAGUAUUAUUUGUAUCUAACCGGGAGGAGUUUGGCUUCACUGUUUCUAUGGCAACGGUCAUCAGUAAUCCAAUUUCCGAGUGUUGUGGCUGAAAAACCAGUGACUGUAAUUCUGAAAAGUUUCCCAGUUUAUGAAGCACAGAAGGAGUGGAUGCACAGAGACACUAACUGAUGCAGUGAUUUAUCGGUUUAUCAGGGUUGGG
Long non-coding RNA from Echinops telfairi (small Madagascar hedgehog), 333 nucleotides. RefSeq lists it as uncharacterized. The transcript is spliced from 3 exons. Lineage: Eukaryota; Metazoa; Chordata; Mammalia; Afrosoricida; Tenrecidae. The record is from RefSeq and is a predicted model, not a curated record.